CCUACGGGGGGCAGCAGUGGGGAAUAUUGCGCAAUGGGCGAAAGCCUGACGCAGCGACGCCGCGUGAGGGAUGAAGGUCUUCGGAUCGUAAACCUCUGUCAGCAGGGAAGAACGGUCACUGUGCUAAUCAGCAGUGAAUUGACGGUACCUGCAAAGGAAGCACCGGCUAACUCCGUGCCAGCAGCCGCGGUAAUACGGAGGGGGCGAGCGUGAAUCGGAAUUACUGGGCGUAAAGCGCUCGUAGGCGGUAGGUCAAGGCAAGGGUGAAAUCCCCGCGCUCAACGUGGGAACUGCCGUUGAAACUGGCAAGCUGGAGUGUGUGAGAGGAAAGUGGAAUUCCAGGUGUAGGGGUGAAAUGCGUAGAUAUCAGGAGGAACAUCAGUGGCGAAGGCGACUAUCUGGCACAUAACUGACGCUGAGGAGCGAAAGCGUGGGUAGCAAACAGGAUUAGAUACCCGAGUAGUC
This 465-nucleotide ribosomal RNA is filed under the name uncultured bacterium. RNAcentral describes it as "partial 16S ribosomal RNA". It matches the Rfam family "Bacterial small subunit ribosomal RNA", at positions 338 to 795 of the family's 1533-position model. The record is from RNAcentral.